AGAGGCGCGGGUGUUCGGCUGCGUCACUGGGGCGCUAUGGUGCCUGGAGCUGGGCAGUUUUCUCGUCAGAGUGGGGACUGGUAAGAGCGACCUCCCCGCCAGGUCCUGUGUGUUGCCGGCUGAAGAAGGGUAGCUGAAAAAUUCAGACCCAGCACAGUGUUUAUGUUGGUCAAAAAUAGAAAACUAUGUCUGGCGCGGCCGAGGCGGGAGGACCCUUCAGGCCAAGAGCAGCGUAGCAACAUGGCGCAACCCCAUCUCUGUAGUCCUACCUCAGCCCCCCAGCUACUUGAACCCAAAGGUUCAAGGCUCCAGUGAGCUAUGAUCCCACCACAGCAUUCCAGCCUGCGAGAUUGAGAUGAUGAUUAUUCCCCACCUUCUAAGAGACAAAGACCAACGAGCCACCACAGCCACCAGUCCCAGAACCCGCCAAUGCUGGGGAACGGAAAAUGAGGGAGUUCAACUCUGAGAAAUGGAAUCAUCGUAUCGCUGAUCUACGUAAACAAACUGAAGAAUUGUCUGAAAGAAAAUAUGACAUGAACUUAUGAAUUCAACAGGUGAAGAUUUACAACUUGAUAAAUCAACUUUGUGAGCUCGAGCUGUAAAAGCCAAAGGUCUGGUGAUGAUCCCAUACCCUUUUUUCCAGUCUCAUGUUGAAGAUUUUUAUGUAGAAGGCCUUCCCAAAGGAAUUUUUUUUUUUUUUUUUUUUUGAGAUGGAGUUUUCACUCUUAUCGCCCAGGCUGGGGUGCAAUGGCGCAACCUUGCUGGUCACUGCAACCUCUGCCUCCUGGGUUCAAGAAAUUCUCCUGCCUUAGCCUCCCAAGUCGCUGGGAUUAUAGGUGCCCACCACCACACCAGGCUAAUUUUUGUAUUUUUAGUGGAGAUGGGGUUUCACCAUGUUGGCCGGGCCAGUCUCGAACUCCUGAUGUCAAGUGAUCUUCCCGCCUCGACUCCUGACAUCAAGUGAUCUUCCCGCCUCGGCCUCCCAGAGUGCUGAGAUUACAGACGUGAACCCAUGCCUGGCCAGGAAUUUUGUUUUUUAGGAAGGCUUUCUACUAAUGGAAUUCCUGGCCUUGAGAGGAUGUUACUUUCGAAGGAAAGGAUUUUUUUGUUAUUAAAAGAGCCACCUAAGCUGAAGAUUCCCUUGAGAACAAGUACUGUCCUGCGGUUUCAUGGCCUUUCUUCCAUUUGUGGUUCUUGUGAAGUGGAAUUUAAAUGACAUCUUAUCAAGAUGGAUAAACCCUAGUUUCCCAGUGCUGGAAUAUAGAAAAUGGAUGGACAAGUAAAUCCCACUCAGCACCCAUAGUCCAGGCAUGGGGACCUCAACACACCUGAGCACCAGACAUCACCUUUCAUUCUGGACCUACCAUGAAAGACUUCUGAAUCCAGGAAGAGAAACUGACUGGGCAACAUGUUAUUCAGAUGGGGUCUUCUUAUGUUGCCCAGGUUGGUCUCAAAUUGCUAGGCUCAAGUGAUUCCACCCACCUCUGCCUCCCACAGUGCUGGGAUUACGGGCAUGAGCCAGCGCAUCUGGCCACCUUAUUUUCAAUUACUGGCUCAAUGUAAUGGCUCCAUCUCAGGAACAGCCAAUGAAAGAGAUGCACAGGACAAGAGAUGGGACCUCAGUAUGUUGCCACGGCUGACCUUGAACUCCUGCACUCAAGGGAUUUUCCUACCCUGGCCUCCCAAAGUAUUGGUAUUACAGGCAUGAGCCAUUGUGCCCACCGUCUCUGGUUCUUAACCUUCUGCCUCCCUCUUCCAGUUUUAAAGAAUGCUUGUAAUUACAUGGGCUCUCCUAGAUACUCCAGGAUAAUCUUGUUUUAAGGUCAGCUGAUGAGCAACAUUAAUUUUAUCUGCACUAUUAAUUCCCCCUUCCUAUGUAAUUGUGCUGUGUAACAUAGGACAUGAGCAAUUGGUGGCGGUGGGGGUUAUUACUUUGGCCACCACAGUAACUAUUUUAUGCCAGGUACUCAGCUAAGCACUGGUGAAUUAAGCAUGAAUAACACACACUCCCUAAUCUCCAUCCAUUCAUGGGAGGAGCACUUCACCUGCCAUGCUCCUGAGAAUCUCGGGAGUCAGAGAAGUCUUCUAUGAGGAGGUGAUGCCAAAGCGGACAAGUGACAGAGGAGUCAAAGCUAGCUAGGAAGGGAGUAGAGGUUUAAGGGGAAGCAUAUUAUAAGCAGAGGAUAUUACCCACUUCAGAGACUCCCAGAGGAGAAAGAGUGUGCGUUCAAGAGGCAGAUGAGGCUCAGUUGGACUCCAUAGCAGAUGAAAUGGAGAGGGGCAAGCAGUGAGGCUGCCUUGCAAGGCAGGGCAGAGCAGGGGCUGUUAAGGAGUUUGGACUUAAUCCCUGAGGCAAGGAGAAGUGAUGUAAAUGGAGGAGUAACAUGAUGAGAUUCAUGGAUUAGAGACAUGGCUCAGGCUGCUGUAGAGAAGGCACCAGGGAGAGCAGAUGGCUCAAUGGGUGUGCAGGAGACCUCUCCCUGAGUUUAGGGAGAGGUUUUUAAAACAGAAGAAGUUUGAGUAAUUUAAAUGAUG
This 2535-nucleotide long non-coding RNA is filed under the name Homo sapiens (human). RNAcentral describes it as "PREDICTED lncRNA (TCONS_00023674)". Lineage: Eukaryota; Metazoa; Chordata; Mammalia; Primates; Hominidae. The record is from RNAcentral.